This is a long non-coding RNA of Oncorhynchus nerka (sockeye salmon), 1155 nucleotides long. RefSeq lists it as uncharacterized. NCBI's taxonomy places the organism in Eukaryota, Metazoa, Chordata, Actinopteri, Salmoniformes, Salmonidae. The record is from RefSeq and is a predicted model, not a curated record. The transcript is spliced from 2 exons.
CAUGGCAACCUGUAAACAUGUCAGUGGCGUCACAAUGUUGCACAACAGCAGCAGAACAUUGGAUGGAGGGUCAUUGUAUCAUUACACAGUGUCACUGUCUAUUCUACUGUAUUGGUACAUGUGGUAUUACAAUACAUUAGAAGAUCUGUAGAUGGGAGCAUUGAAACAAUUUACAACACAUCGUCAACUAGCAACCUGCUCUGUUUCAGUGCUGUUUAAAUAUCCCACUUAUUUUAUUCUGCUGUUAGAGGCCAUCAGUAGAGACAGUCAGGAAAAUAGUCUUUGUAGCAAGUUUUUUUCUGUCAAACCUGGGAAGUGUGUCUAUAUAGCACCAUACGUUCUUCAGAAGCUGGACAGCAUAUGAAUAGAAUCCAUCUUCUCUCACCUUCUCCCCUCAAGACCAACAUCACACAAGAUGCUUCAGAACAACAACAACAACAACAAGCUGGUGAAGUUGCUACCCAACAGGAACAACCAAUAUAUUUAAGUUCUAUAGUCUACCAAGUGUUAAUGUCAUUGUAGAGGGUGGGUCCCAAAGACCCUCCCCAUUAGUGAUUAAGGGGACUUGAAGAUUCAUAUGUUUUGCUGCAGGCCUUAUAAUAGAUACUGUUUCUAUGUGUCUAAACUCUGCCACUAUACGUUGUACAAGCAUCUAUAUUAGUCUUUGUGGUUAGGCCCUGGCUGAUGUGAGAGUGGGCUUGCAGGCUGGGUCUGAGUCUAUAUUAGUCUUUGUGGUUAGGCCCUGGCUGAUGUGAGAGUGGGCUUGCAGGCUGGGUCUGAGUCUAUAUUAGUCUUUGUGGUUAGGCCCUGGCUGAUGUGAGAGUGGGCUUGCAGGCUGGGUCUGAGUCAGACUGAAACUAGAUAAAGAGAAGUAACCACUGUCUGGUUUUGACAUGUUGAUAUUGUGUGGUAGUGGACAAUGCUAAUGAAUUCACAGAAGCUACUGUACCAGGUUACUUUAUAAGGUAACCUCAGCUUAUUGAUACACACAUACAUUGACGUAGGUGAUUAUACCACCAGGUAGUGACCACAUGUAUAUAAUCAGCUGUGCCCUUAGGUGGGUUGCAGAACUUACUCUGAAACAUACAUGCUGUGUUCCCGUUGUCAACUUCUGUCUGCAACCACAUUAAUAAAUGAAUGAUUGAUUUACUUAAA